UUGGGUGGGUAGAUGGAUGGGUGGGCAGGUGGGUGAAAAGGUGAGUGGAUAGACGAGUGGAUGUAUAGUAAUGGUGGAUAGGAAGAUGGAUAGUGGGGUGGAUGGAUGGGUGACCAGAUAAAUGGGGGAGCCAGGAACGUAAGUGUGUCCCUAGUGGUAACAUUUAUUUGAUGACAAAGUCAAAACAUAAGCACUUAUAAACAAAGCAGGAACCUGCCAUCCCCAGAGAUACCUUCCAGCCUUGGGGUCUCGUAUUCACCAAGUGUUUCCCCAUACAGGGGUGCCAAGGCUGGGCUCAUCCCAGUUGAGUUACCACUUUUUCCCGUUUCUUCCCUCUCUUCAUUCGCCAGAUGGGCACACGCCUCACUGGGUCAAGGAAAAGGUGAAGUAACAGGGGUGAAGUCACGUUGUCAACUAGAACAUCCCCCACCCGGGCACGGAUACCAAUACAUGGGAUCUGUCACCAGGCCAACCCCAUCUCUCGUGGACCAGCCAGACUGCAAGAGUUGCUAUGAGCGAUCCCUGCCCCUGCUUCCUGGAGCACAGGUGUGAGUUCCUCGAGGGGCACACCCAUCCAUCUGCCAGAUCCUACUGAAUCGAGUUCCAACUCCUCAAGAAAGCGAUGCCAAGAGUCAGGCUGUUUAAGCUGCAAUCCCACUGGUGCACUUUGGGACCCAGGACCAGCCACCCUUCUCCGGGCCCUACUCUCCUCCUCGCUCCCCUCAGACCCGCUGCCAGCACCUCCAUCAUCUCUACCUGCCAGCCUGCCUGCCUUCAUCCGCGGAGGAGAGACACGGCUGCAGGCUGAGAGAGGCGGCUUCGCGGGGCCCGGCCGCAAGAGGCCGCGUUACCUGUGUACCCAGGUGUGGACACACAGCCAUGCGCAAGGUACACAGCAGCGUGGGGCGGAAAUCCCCACACACCUAUGAAAAGACCCAGCUGCCCAGUAGGGUUUAUGCCAGGGAUGCAAACCCGUUUCAGACAAAGUAGCCAUGGGAUUCACGCCGUUAACCGAUUGACGGAACGUGGCGUGGGUGUCUCCGUAAACGCUGAAACGGUGUACGAAACAUGCCCUCACCCAGGCUCCAGAAAAGAGAAAGGAGCUAGAUAGAAGGUGCAAAGCCAGGGCAGGGAGCGUGAGGGAAGCGGGGACUGAGGCAGGAGAGGACGAGGACGAGGCGCGGUGAGUUGUUGUCACGCGGCUCGCUGUUUCUUGGAAAAGCACAGCAAGUGAUUGGCCAGCGGGGCUGCUCAGCCCUCAGGGAGCCUCCAGAUGGACAUGCCUCCGGGCAGUCUAUCAGAGGAGGAAAGAUGGGAUCCAUCAGCCCAGCUCCCUCCUCAGCUUCCGUUUCCCAUUGGCCAAAGUUCCCCUCCCGGAUUCAUUCUCCUGCAUUUCGAGUUGCCUCGUGAAAGCCAUUGGCAGCUUCUUGGGAACCCAUGCCCUAUCGUGUGGUCUUUGUCCAAAGUCCAGAAAUGGCCAGAGAAGCCAGAGACUCUGGGCUUGUAGCUGAUCGGCGUUGGGCAGCAGAAUCGCACGGGCCCACAUGGAGUCUCUUGGCCGCCGUGGUGGCUGGAGCAGAGCAAACAGCUGAAGUCUGGGAAGCAGGGGAGUCCAAGAGAAUCUGAAGGCGUCACAUACGAUUAAGCGUCACAUCUAAAAGCAUCACAUACGAUUCAUCUCAACUUCCAUUUCUGAUAAAAAAAAAAACUCAUCAAGCCACAUCCUUAUCAAUGAAAUAUUAAAAAGACCCCCCUUUCAAUUCGGGACUGAGAUAAAGUUAUCCAGGGUCAUCACCGCUACCCAACCUUAGACCUCAGGCGUAGCCAACGUAAUAAGACAAGAAAAAAAAUUAAAGUUUAAUGUCGGGGGAGGAAGAGACAAGUUUGUCAUUACGUAUGUACGUAAUAUGACUGUCUCCCUUAAAAAUGCGAAAGAAGCAGCCGACGAACUAAUUAACAAGACACGUUAUGUGCAAAUCAUGAUGGCUUCUUCUCCCCUCCCCUUUUACAUCCGAAGUUCCAAGAAAACUCACCUGUUCUGUUCCUUGCACCUGCGCUCUGUGGUUUCCCGACUCUGGACCUUUACCUCACCUUGAUCUUCUUGCAUUUUCUGCAGAGACAAAUCCCACCUAGUUCCCAAUGCCCAGUGCAAGUGCCACUGUGUUUCUAUAAAACCCCCCUUGUUCCCCCAACCACAAACGGGCCCUCUCUCCAUCCUCUAAAGGUCACACAACUUGUAUAAUCCACUCGUUCACUGUAGUUCUCCAAAGGUAACUACCCCCUCCUACCUUUUAUUCUAGUUACUUGCACACAUAUCCUAUCUACUGUGCGAGCACCUUGAGGUCAGAGACUGGAGGGAAAGACUACAGUUUAGUGACAAAACGCACCUUGGAACUUGACAGACCCAUCUUCAAAGCCCAGCGCCACUAUUUCUAAGCUGUGUGCCCUUAGGCGAGCUCUUGACUUCUCUGAGCUCUUCUUUCCUAUAGAAAUUGGGACUAUAUUAGUGUUGCUUUGAAGUUGGUACUGAACAGGUUGACAUUAUAUGUAUAUGCACCCCUACUCUUAGCAAACUACCCAGCACAUGACAGAGGAUACCAGCAUUAUUACUCAGUAUUAUUCCUUAUCUCCUUGUCCCUAACACCUAGGACAGUGCCAAAAUAUAACUGGAGUUCACAAGUUGCUUGAUGAAUGACUUCCAUUUAAAACCAUUCAGCAAAUAUUUCUUGAGAGCUUCCAUGUACAGAGCGAUGUCCCAGAUGCUAGGGACGCAAGGAUGAGCAAGAUUCAAACCCAGCCUCCUCCAGCUCAAGGGUGUCAGAGGAAUAUAAAGAAAGACAAGAAGCCCAAAUGUAGAGAAAGUCGGACCCAAGCCCACUGAAGUCACCCUCACAAUCCCCCGGGGUUGUCCUUGUAGAGAAGUCAGCGUAAGGCAUGGAAUCUUAGGCCAUCGGGUCCUUAGAGAGGCGAGGUCAAGAGUCGACAGCCCUGAGUUUGGAUCCUGGCUCCUGCCUUCAUCAUUUGGGUGAACUCAGGGGCAUUGUCUCCUCUCGUUAAGUUUUGGUUCUUCUUCUGUAGGAUGGGGGUAAUAGCAGCACUUCCCAUGCAGGGUUGCUCUGGGGUAAGUUGAGGUCACCAAAUGAAAAGAAUAUGGCACAUCACCCGGUGUCUACUGAGCUAACAUCCACCCCACCCUCAACUCCUGCUGAUGGGGAACGGGAGGCAUCACGAGUCCCACCAGGCUGUAACCAGGUCAGACCUCCUGGCUCCAAGGCUGUGUUCAUCUUGGGACUUCCCGGCUCCCGGCCAGCUCUGACAUCUUGAGAGCCUACAGAAAGUUCAGGAAGGUGAGCCAAGUGGUUUCCGCAGGCCCUCGCCAGCUAAUAGUGAGCCAGCGCAAGCCUGGAUCACAGGUGCCAUGUUAGAUCAAGGCAGCCCUUUGUCAUUUCUGCUCUGCUCUAGGAACCUCUGCGUUUCCUUCCUUCCAGGCAAAGCGUCAGGUACCUUGAGUCCCCUUGCUUGGCUGACAUUCCCCACCUAGACUUCACCAGCCCCAGCCCCCUUGAAAAUAAGGGACAUCAGAGUACACGGGGUUUUCCUUCUCUUACCCCAAAGCACCUCCCCAAAACGGAUAUUCUUACUGAGGAAUAUCUCUCUGUACUGGCAUGGGCAGAUACAUUAAGUGAAGAUAAAUUAAGUGAAAAAUUGGAAACUGCCACAACGCUGCUCGGUCCAACCCUACUUUUUAAAAAUAGACACCUGAAAAAGAAAACGCUGCAGAAAUAUUAACCCACAGAUUCCCACUGGUUAUGUCUGAGGGUGGCAUUAGAGUGGAUGUUCUAGAUUACAUGUUCCCGUAACGUUUUCAUUUGCAUUGCAUUGCUAAUCAGGAAUAAUAGAUUGUUGGAAAAGGGAAAGGGGUUCUUGAGACCUUGGCCAGCAUGAGAGGUCAGGAGGGCUGCCAGGGAAAAGUUCUAGAGCAUUCCAUUCUAGAGUCAGAGAGACCACCUGCCCCAGGCUGGGAAAAUGCCAGCCUUUGGUGGAGGACUGAGUUGAGCAGAAAAGAAAAUCGAUCAUCUCUUUCCUUAAAAAUAUAUGUCUGUUUCCUGGGGCACCUGGGUGGUUCGGUCGGUUAAGCAUCUGACUUCGG
Molecule: long non-coding RNA, 4150 nt
Organism: Felis catus (domestic cat)
Lineage: Eukaryota; Metazoa; Chordata; Mammalia; Carnivora; Felidae
Exons: 3
Source: RefSeq, a predicted model, not a curated record